RNAcentral lists this ribosomal RNA (252 nucleotides) under uncultured bacterium. Its description in RNAcentral is "partial 16S ribosomal RNA". It matches the Rfam family "Bacterial small subunit ribosomal RNA", at positions 524 to 776 of the family's 1533-position model. The record is from RNAcentral.
UACGUAGGGGGCAAGCGUUGUCCGGAAUUAUUGGGCGUAAAGCGCGCGCAGGCGGCUGUGUAAGUCCGGUGUUUAAGGCCAGGGCUCAACCCUGGUUCGCACCGGAAACUGGACGGCUGGAGUGCAGGAGAGGGAAGUGGAAUUCCACGUGUAGCGGUGAAAUGCGUAGAGAUGUGGAGGAACACCAGUGGCGAAGGCGACUUCCUGGCCUGUAACUGACGCUGAGGCGCGAAAGCGUGGGGAGCAAACAGG